This is a long non-coding RNA of Carassius gibelio (silver crucian carp), 2969 nucleotides long. RefSeq lists it as uncharacterized. NCBI's taxonomy places the organism in Eukaryota, Metazoa, Chordata, Actinopteri, Cypriniformes, Cyprinidae. The transcript is spliced from 3 exons. The record is from RefSeq and is a predicted model, not a curated record.
GCGUUAUUAGGGGCCAAGCACCGAAGGUGCGAAGGCACCUAUUGUGUUUGUUGGCGUUAUUAGGGGCCAAGCACCGAAGGUGCGAAGGCACCUAUUGUGUUUGUUGGCGUUAUUAGGGGCCAAGCACCGAAGGUGCGAAGGCACCUAUUGUGUUCGUUGGCGUUAUUAGGGGCCAAGCACCGAAGGUGCGUAGGCACCUAUUGUUUUCGUUGGCGUUAUUAUUAUUCUUCUUCUUCUUCUUCCGCCGCAAGUCUAUGGCAGCCCAUAGAACCGUUUGCGGGAAAGUUGUAUAAUUUGGCACACUGAUAGAGGACAGUCCCAACAUUAACUAUAGCAAAUUUGAAGCCUCUAAAUCCUACUCUCUAGCGCCACCACUUGUCCAAACUUUCAAUGUUUGUAUGCUAAUAACUUUUGAACCGUAAGCCAGAAAAUGGAAAUUCUUUUUUCCUCUGAAUCCUUGGCUCAGGCCAAGUCGAAUGAACCCCAAAAUUCAAAAAUCGCAAGGUUUAGUUUUUUCGCUAUUUUCAAUUAUUCGAAAAACCUACUUUUUCGAACUCGUCCUAGACGGUUAGUCCGAUUGCCACGAAAAUUGGCUCAGAUCAUCUUCAGACCAUGCUGGCAAAAAGUUAUGGAAUUCAAGUUGAUUCGUCCAACUGUUGUCGAAUGACACGUAAACAAAUUUGACGAAAAGCACGCAAACAUGCACGUGAGGCUAUAUCCCGGCAACGGUUUGUCAUAUUGAGACCAAACUUGGCGUGUGUUAUAACAAGCAUGAACUGAGACUACCUGCAGUGUUUCGACACAGCGCCACCUAGUGGUCAGGAGAUAUGAAAAAUGCAUAUUUUGGCUUAUAACUACUGAAUGGUUUGGCCAAAAAUCACACAACUGGUCUCUUUAGAUUCAGUGAGUCAUGUCGAGUCAAAUGAUAUCCAAAUUUCCUGUGUCGGCCAUUUUAGGCGUCGGCCAUUUUGAAUUAUGAUUUAAAAUGCUGUAUUUUUUGAACGCAGCAUCGUAUCGUUUCGCAAAUAAUUACAAAAAUAUUCGGCUCCAUGCCCUGAAGGUACUCAAAAAGUUUGGUGGCAGCGCCACCUUGUGGCCAAUAGUUAUAAUGAAAUAUCACAUAAAUGCUAAUAACUUUUGAAUAAAUUAGUCUAUUAAAAUUAAAAUGGUCUCGCUAUAUUCUGUGGGUCAUGCCGAGAGUAUUGAUACCAAUAAUGUGAAAAUUGGCCUUACUUCCUGUCCGCCAUUUUGCUUAAUGUUGAAAACCUACUUUUUCGAACUCCUCCUAGACCGUUAGCCCAAUUUUCACCAAAUUUGACGUGCAUCAUCUUCAGACCAUGCUGGCAAAAAGUUAUGGAUUUUGUGUCGAUAUACGUAACGGUUCUCAUUUAGCGCAUCAACGAAUUUGCUGGAAGGGUGCCAAAAUGCAUUUGAGGCUGUAUCUCUGCAACACUUUGACAUAUUUGCACCAAACUUUGUAUGUGUCAUCGCCACCUCACACUGACCAUGCCACAUAAAUUUGGUAACAGCGCCACCUAUUGGUCAAGAGUAAUAAACCAUUCAUUAACCAUGAGUAAUUACACUUUUUAAAAUGCUAAUAACUUUUUAAUGCAUUAGCCUAUUUGAAGGAAACUGGGCACAAAAUAUUCCCUGGCUUAUGCCGAUAACAUAGAUACCAAAUAUACCACGGUAAGCUGAACUUCCGGUCCGCCAUUUUGAUUUAUGUUGAAAACAUACUUUUUCGAACUCCUGAUCAACCGUAUGUCCGAUUUUCACCAAAUUCGAAUCAAAUGAUCUUCAGGCUAUACUGAUUCAAAGUUAUGGAUUUUGAGUCGAUAGACAAAACCGUUUUCGCAUACCACAUCGACGAAUUUGAGGCACAAUGAGAAAAUGACACUUGAGGCUGUAUCCCUGGAAUGCUUUGGCAUAUUGACACCAAACGUUGUGUGUGUCAUUGAAAAGACACACAGAGUACACCAAAUUGAUUUUAUAACAGUGUCACCUAUUGGUCAAGCUUGAUAAACCAAGUAAUCAUGCUACUAGAGGUGGUAUUGGUGUUUUUUUUUUUUGCCAUUUCAAAUACAAUAAUUCCAAAAUUGCUGUUAUUGCUCAUUAAUGUAUUUGGUGUGAUGCUUUAUGCGAUGCUUAGCUACUACAUUUGCCGUUGGAGUGCUUGGCCCCGUAAUUGCUGCUUGCAGCUAUAUUUAGGGGCCAAGCACCGAAGGUGCGUAGGCACCUAUUGUUUUCGUUGGCGUUAUUAUUAUUCUUCUUCUUCUUCCGCCGCAAGUCUAUGGCAGCCCAUAGAACCGUUUGCGGGAAAGUUGUAUAAUUUGGCACACUGAUAGAGGACAGUCCCAACAUUAACUAUAGCAAAUUUGAAGCCUCUAACUCCUACUCUCUAGCGCCACCACUUGUCCAAACUUUCAAUGUUUGUAUGCUAAUAACUUUUGAACCGUAAGCCAGAAAAUGGAAAUUCUUUUUUCCUCUGAAUCCUUGGCUCAAGCCAAGUCGAAUGAACCCUAAAAUUCAAAAAUCGCAAGGUUUAGUUUUUUCGCUAUUUUCAACUUUUCGAAAAACUUACUUUUUCGAACUCGUCCUAGACGGUUUGUCCGAUUUUCACGAAAAUUGGCUCAGAUCAUCAACAGACCAUGCUGGCAAAAAGUUAUGGAAUUCAAGUUGAUUCGUCCAACCGUUCUCGAAUGACACGUGAAAAAAUAUGACGAAAAGCACGCAAAAAUACACGUGAGGCUAUAUCUCCGCAACGGUUUGGCGUAUUGAGACCAAACUUGGUGUGUGUUAUAAUAAGCAUGACCUGAGACUACCUGCAGUGUUUCGACACAGCGCCACCUAGUGGUCAGGAGAUAUGAAAAAUGCAUAUUUUGGCUUAUAACUUCUGAAUGGUUUGGCCAAAAAUUACAAAACUGGUCUCUGUAGAUUCAGUGCGUCAUGUCGAGUCGAUUGAUAUCCAA